Molecule: ribosomal RNA, 407 nt
Filed under: uncultured bacterium
Lineage: Bacteria
Description: partial 16S ribosomal RNA
Rfam family: Bacterial small subunit ribosomal RNA
Source: RNAcentral
AUUGAACGCUAGCGGGAUGCCUUACACAUGCAAGUCGCACGGAGUGGCGCACGGGUGAGUAAUGUAUCGGAACGUGCCCAGUAGCGGGGGAUAACUACGCGAAAGCGUAGCUAAUACCGCAUACUAUUGGAGCGGCCGAUAUCGGAUUAGCUAGUUGGUGGGGUAACGGCUCACCAAGGCGACGCUCCGUAGCGGGUUUGAGAGGACGACCAGCCAGACGGGGAGUUGGACACGGCCCAGACUCCUACGGCAGGCAGCAGUGGGGAAUUUUGGCCAAUGGGGGAAACCCUGAUCCAGCCAUCCCGCGUGGGCGAUGAAGGCCUUCGGGUUGUAAAGCACGUUUGGCAGGAAAGCGGUACCUGCAGAAUAAGCACCGGCUAACUACGUGCCAGCAGCCGCGGUAAUUC